RNAcentral lists this ribosomal RNA (492 nucleotides) under uncultured bacterium. Its description in RNAcentral is "partial 16S ribosomal RNA". It matches the Rfam family "Bacterial small subunit ribosomal RNA", at positions 29 to 507 of the family's 1533-position model. The record is from RNAcentral.
AGUGAACGCUGGCGGUAUGCCUAACACAUGCAAGUCGAACGGCAGCACAGUGAGCUCUUGCUCUUACCGUUGGCGAGUGGCGGACGGGUGACGCAUACAUCACCUUCUACUUUUUCGUGGAGAAUUACGUAGAGCCACUUCCGCUACUACCUCAUACGACCUACGGCUGGGAGCAGUGGUUCUUCGCGCCUUUCCCGUUUCUAUUAGCCGAUGUCGGAUUAGCUAGUUGGCUGGGUAAAGGCUCACCAAGGCAACGAUGCGUAGCUGGUCUGAGAGGAUGAUCGGCCACACUGGAACUGAGACACGGUCCAGACUCCUACGGGAGGCAGCAGUGGGGAAUAUUGGGCAAUGGGCGAAAGCCUGAUGGAGCAAUACCGCGUGAGUGAAGAAGGUCUUCGGGUCGUAAAGCUCUGUUGUUAGGAAAGAAAAGAAGUGGAAGAAUACAUGGACGUUUUGACGGUACCUAAACAAUAAGCAACGGCUAACUACGUG